GGGUUGUGAGGUUAAGCGACUAAGCGUACACGGUGGAUGCCCUGGCAGUCAGAGGCGAUGAAGGACGUGCUAAUCUGCGAUAAGCGUCGGUAAGGUGAUAUGAACCGUUAUAACCGGCGAUUUCCGAAUGGGGAAACCCAGUGUGAUUCGUCACACUAUCAUUAACUGAAUCCAUAGGUUAAUGAGGCGAACCGGGGGAACUGAAACAUCUAAGUACCCCGAGGAAAAGAAAUCAACCGAGAUUCCCCCAGUAGCGGCGAGCGAACGGGGAGCAGCCCAGAGCCUGAAUCAGUGUGUGUGUUAGUGGAAGCGUCUGGAAAGGCGUGCGAUACAGGGUGACAGCCCCGUACACAAAAAUGCACAUACUGUGAGCUCGAUGAGUAGGGCGGGACACGUGGUAUCCUGUCUGAAUAUGGGGGGACCAUCCUCCAAGGCUAAAUACUCCUGACUGACCGAUAGUGAACCAGUACCGUGAGGGAAAGGCGAAAAGAACCCCGGCGAGGGGAGUGAAAAAGAACCUGAAACCGUGUACGUACAAGCAGUGGGAGCACGCUUAGGCGUGUGACUGCGUACCUUUUGUAUAAUGGGUCAGCGACUUAUAUUCUGUAGCAAGGUUAACCGAAUAGGGGAGCCGAAGGGAAACCGAGUCUUAACUGGGCGUUAAGUUGCAGGGUAUAGACCCGAAACCCGGUGAUCUAGCCAUGGGCAGGUUGAAGGUUGGGUAACACUAACUGGAGGACCGAACCGACUAAUGUUGAAAAAUUAGCGGAUGACUUGUGGCUGGGGGUGAAAGGCCAAUCAAACCGGGAGAUAGCUGGUUCUCCCCGAAAGCUAUUUAGGUAGCGCCUCGUGAAUUCAUCUCCGGGGGUAGAGCACUGUUUCGGCAAGGGGGUCAUCCCGACUUACCAACCCGAUGCAAACUGCGAAUACCGGAGAAUGUUAUUACGGGAGACACACGGCGGGUGCUAACGUCCGUCGUGAAGAGGGAAACAACCCAGACCGCCAGCUAAGGUCCCAAAGUCAUGGUUAAGUGGGAAACGAUGUGGGAAGGCCCAGACAGCCAGGAUGUUGGCUUAGAAGCAGCCAUCAUUUAAAGAAAGCGUAAUAGCUCACUGGUCGAGUCGGCCUGCGCGGAAGAUGUAACGGGGCUAAACCAUGCACCGAAGCUGCGGCAGCGACGCUUAUGCGUUGUUGGGUAGGGGAGCGUUCUGUAAGCCUGUGAAGGUGUGCUGUGAGGUAUGCUGGAGGUAUCAGAAGUGCGAAUGCUGACAUAAGUAACGAUAAAGCGGGUGAAAAGCCCGCUCGCCGGAAGACCAAGGGUUCCUGUCCAACGUUAAUCGGGGCAGGGUGAGUCGACCCCUAAGGCGAGGCCGAAAGGCGUAGUCGAUGGGAAACAGGUUAAUAUUCCUGUACUUGGUGUUACUGCGAAGGGGGGACGGAGAAGGCUAUGUUGGCCGGGCGACGGUUGUCCCGGUUUAAGCGUGUAGGCUGGUUUUCCAGGCAAAUCCGGAAAAUCAAGGCCGAGGCGUGAUGACGAGGCACUACGGUGCUGAAGCAACAAAUGCCCUGCUUCCAGGAAAAGCCUCUAAGCAUCAGGUAACAUCAAAUCGUACCCCAAACCGACACAGGUGGUCAGGUAGAGAAUACCAAGGCGCUUGAGAGAACUCGGGUGAAGGAACUAGGCAAAAUGGUGCCGUAACUUCGGG
This 1706-nucleotide ribosomal RNA is filed under the name Shigella flexneri. Its description in RNAcentral is "partial 23S ribosomal RNA". It matches the Rfam family "Bacterial large subunit ribosomal RNA", at positions 1 to 1740 of the family's 2925-position model. The record is from RNAcentral. Lineage: Bacteria; Pseudomonadati; Pseudomonadota; Gammaproteobacteria; Enterobacterales; Enterobacteriaceae.